CAGGGAAUCUUGCGCAAUGGACGGGAGUCCGACGCAGCGACACCGCGUGGGUGAAGACGGCCUUCGGGUUGUAAAGCCCUUUUCUGGGGGAAGAGAGAGGACGGUACUCCAGGAAUAAGUGUCGGCUAACUACGUGCCAGCAGCCGCGGUAAUACGUAGGACACGAGCGUUAUCCGGAUUUACUGGGCGUAAAGCGCCUGUAGGCGGUUCUUCAAGUCGUUUGUGAAAGCCCUGGGCUCAACCUGGGGAGGACAAGCGAUACUGGAGGACUUGAGGGUGACAGAGGGGAGUGGAAUUUCCGGUGUAGCGGUAAAAUGCGCAGAUAUCGAGAGGAACACCAGUGGCGAAGGCGGCUCCCUGGGUCACCCCUGACGCUGAGAGGCGAAAGCUAGGGGAGCAAACAG
RNAcentral lists this ribosomal RNA (404 nucleotides) under uncultured bacterium. Its description in RNAcentral is "bacterial SSU rRNA". It matches the Rfam family "Bacterial small subunit ribosomal RNA", at positions 355 to 775 of the family's 1533-position model. The record is from RNAcentral.